AUAUGUGUUUAAGAAUGGAUCAUUGACGGAUUUGGAGUAACCUUGAGUAGCUUGAACUUGUUCUUGAAUGAAAGAUGAAAAUUGUGUAGUCAUAGGACAUUCACUCACAUGAUGGGCUAGACUAGCACAGAUAGAACAGAUCUCCUGAUAAUUGAGAGGUGGUGUGUAUUGCGUAGGAGAUUGUUGACAUAGAGCUAGAAAUUUAUCUAUAAGAAGGUCGACUUUAUCUAAUUUUUGAGCUAUCAAGUUCAAAUCGAUCUUAGAACUAGAGUCUGAAUGUUUGAUCCCAUAGAAUGAUGGGAACAUUGAUGGGU
Molecule: long non-coding RNA, 314 nt
Filed under: Elaeis guineensis (African oil palm)
Lineage: Eukaryota; Viridiplantae; Streptophyta; Magnoliopsida; Arecales; Arecaceae
Description: long non-coding RNA (EGUI_LNC044930)
Source: RNAcentral